GAUGAACGCUGACAGUAUGCUUAACACAUGCAAGUCAACUGGUGGCGGACGGGGGAGUAACACGUAUGGCACUUGACUUACCGCUAGGGACAACAUAUGGAAACGAAUGCUAAUACCUAACACUGUGAGAGAGCUUUGCGUCCCAUUAGCUAGUUGAAGAGGUAACGGCUCACCAAGGCGAUGAUGGGUAGCCGGCCUGUGAGGGUGAUCGGCCACAAGGGCACUGAGACACGGCCCUUAGUCCUACGUGCGGCAGCAGUGGGGAAUAGUCGACAAAGGAUCGAAGUCUGAUCCAGCAAUUCGGUGUGCACGAUGAAGUUUUCGGGAUGAAAAGUGCUUUCAGUUGGGAAGCGGUACCAACAGAAGAAGUGACGGCUAACUACGUGCCAGCCGCCGCGGUAAUAC
Molecule: ribosomal RNA, 405 nt
Filed under: uncultured bacterium
Lineage: Bacteria
Description: partial 16S ribosomal RNA
Rfam family: Bacterial small subunit ribosomal RNA
Source: RNAcentral